Molecule: long non-coding RNA, 442 nt
Organism: Lacerta agilis (Sand lizard)
Lineage: Eukaryota; Metazoa; Chordata; Lepidosauria; Squamata; Lacertidae
Exons: 2
Source: RefSeq, a predicted model, not a curated record
GGGACCUGGGAUACCAUGGUUUUUGGAAUCCCCACUCAGCCAUGGACCUCACUGGUUCACCUUGGGACGAUCCGCCGCCACUUAACCAGCCUCAAAGUGUCAUCGUUUCUGGGAAGAAAAUACGGGAAAGAAUUCACACACACCCAUGAGAAAAUCCAUACAGAUUAUGGCCACCUGCAGGAUAACCCACUCUCCACUCCUGCUCCUUGUUAGUUAAUCUGGGAUAAUUUGCUCAACUCACCAGUAAUGCUCUCACAACUAAUACAGAUAAUAAUCCCCGUUUCACCUGAAAGAAUCCCUGCUUCACCUGUAAGUCUUCAUUGCCUUCAUUGAAAUAGGCAUGGGAGGAAAUUGCCCCCCUUCAUUUACUCUGGUGCAGCAUACAAUUUUUCUUUUUAAAAAUGCAUUAUAAAUAAAAUUGAACCAAUGAACCACUCACUAA